GUGAAAUGAUGAAGGUGUUUAUCCAUUCUCUGAGUGCUGCUCGCCUGCUCUCUGCAGUGUUCGGGUCUGUUCUAGGCCCGAGCGUUUUGGCUGCCCCCCCCACUGCGUACCUCCAGUGUUUUACUGGGGGUUCUGUGGCUGGGGGCGGGGGCCAGGGCGGGGAUAGUGGGUGUAGCAAUCGCAAAGACGAGUGUAAACUCCUGAUCAC
Molecule: small nucleolar RNA, 208 nt
Organism: Anguilla rostrata (American eel)
Lineage: Eukaryota; Metazoa; Chordata; Actinopteri; Anguilliformes; Anguillidae
Product: small nucleolar RNA SNORD17
Exons: 1
Source: RefSeq, a predicted model, not a curated record